AUGCACGGCACGGGCGACGGUU
RNAcentral lists this unclassified non-coding RNA (22 nucleotides) under Chlamydomonas reinhardtii. RNAcentral describes it as "small RNA Cre_0737". Lineage: Eukaryota; Viridiplantae; Chlorophyta; Chlorophyceae; Chlamydomonadales; Chlamydomonadaceae. The record is from RNAcentral.